GACGUACGCUGGCGGCGUGCCUAAUACAUGCAAGUUGAGCGAUGAAGAUUGGUGCUUGCACCAAUUUGAAGAGCAGCGAACGGGUGAGUAACGCGUGGGGAAUCUGCCUUUGAGCGGGGGACAACAUUUGGAAACGAAUGCUAAUACCGCAUAAUAACUUUAAACAUAAGUUUUAAGUUUGAAAGAUGCAAUUGCAUCACUCAAAGAUGAUCCCGCGUUGUAUUAGCUAGUUGGUGAGGUAAAGGCUCACCAAGGCGAUGAUACAUAGCCGACCUGAGAGGGUGAUCGGCCACAUUGGGACUGAGACACGGCCCAAACUCCUACGGGAGGCAGCAGUAGGGAAUCUUCGGCAAUGGACGAAAGUCUGACCGAGCAACGCCGCGUGAGUGAAGAAGGUUUUCGGAUCGUAAAACUCUGUUGGUAGAGAAGAACGUUGGUGAGAGUGGAAAGCUCAUCAAGUGACGGUAACUACCCAGAAAGGGACGGCUAACUACGUG
Molecule: ribosomal RNA, 497 nt
Filed under: uncultured bacterium
Lineage: Bacteria
Description: partial 16S ribosomal RNA
Rfam family: Bacterial small subunit ribosomal RNA
Source: RNAcentral